UGCAGUCGAACGAUACUCUUUAGCUUGCUAAGGAGGAAAGUGGCGCACGGGUGCGUAACGCGUAUGCAACCUACCUUAAUCAGGGGGAUAGCCCGAAGAAAUUCGGAUUAACACCGCAUAAAAUCACAGUACAGCAUUGUACAAUGAUCAAAUAUUUAUAGGAUUAAGAUGGGCAUGCGUGACAUUAGUUAGUUGGCGGGGUAACGGCCCACCAAGACCACGAUGUCUAGGGGAUCUGAGAGGAUGACCCCCCACACUGGUACUGAGACACGGACCAGACUCCUACGGGAGGCAGCAGUAAGGAAUAUUGGUCAAUGGAGGCAACUCUGAACCAGCCAUGCCGCGUGCAGGAAGACAGCCCUCUGGGUCGUAAACUGCUUUUAUUCGGGAAUAAACCUGCUUACGUGUAAGUAGCUGAAUGUACCGAAGGAAUAAGGAUCGGCUAACUCCGUGCCAGCAGCCGCGGUAAUACGGAGGAUCCAAGCGUUAUCCGGAUUUAUUGGGUUUAAAGGGUGCGUAGGCGGCUUUUUAAGUCAGGGGUGAAAGACGGUGGCUCAACCAUCGCAGUGCCCUUGAUACUGAAGAGCUUGAAUGAAUUAGAGGUAGGCGGAAUGUGACAAGUAGCGGUGAAAUGCAUAGAUAUGUCACAGAACACCGAUUGCGAAGGCAGCUUACUAUGAUUUUAUUGACGCUGAGGCACGAAAGCGUGGGGAUCAAACAGGAUUAGAUACCCUGGUAGUCCACGCCCUAAACGAUGAAUACUCGCUGUUAGCGAUACACAGUUAGCGGCUAAGCGAAAGCGUUAAGUAUUCCACCUGGGGAGUACGGUCGCAAGAUUGAAACUCAAAGGAAUUGACGGGGGCCCGCACAAGCGGAGGAGCAUGUGGUUUAAUUCGAUGAUACGCGAGGAACCUUACCCGGGCUUGAAAGUUAGUGAAUCAUUUAGAGAUAGAUGAGUCCGCAAGGACACGAAACUAGGUGCUGCAUGGCUGUCGUCAGCUCGUGCCGUGAGGUGUUGGGUUAAGUCCCGCAACGAGCGCAACCCCUAUGUUUAGUUGCCAGCACGUUAAGGUGGGGACUCUAAACAGACUGCCUGUGCAAACAGAGAGGAAGGAGGGGACGACGUCAAGUCAUCAUGGCCCUUACGUCCGGGGCUACACACGUGCUACAAUGGAUGGUACAGAGGGCAGCAAGCUGGUAACAGCAAGCAAAUCUCCAAAAGCCAUUCACAGUUCGGAUAGAGGUCUGCAACUCGACCUCUUGAAGUUGGAUUCGCUAGUAAUCGUAUAUCAGCAAUGAUACGGUGAAUACGUUCCCGGGCCUUGUACACACCGCCCGUCAAGCCAUGGAAGUUGGGGGUACCUAAAGUAUGUAACCGCAAGGAGCGUCCUAG
Molecule: ribosomal RNA, 1393 nt
Filed under: Pedobacter cryoconitis
Lineage: Bacteria; Pseudomonadati; Bacteroidota; Sphingobacteriia; Sphingobacteriales; Sphingobacteriaceae
Description: bacterial SSU rRNA
Rfam family: Bacterial small subunit ribosomal RNA
Source: RNAcentral